This is a long non-coding RNA of Oreochromis aureus, 666 nucleotides long. Lineage: Eukaryota; Metazoa; Chordata; Actinopteri; Cichliformes; Cichlidae. The record is from Ensembl.
GCUAGAGUGAGACAGCUGAACUGCUAGAGUGAGAGGAGCGAAAAAAUUAAUCUUAAAAUAUUUUUUAAAACUGCUGCUGUGUCCGCAGCGUUUGCUCUACAGGUAUGAUUUUACCCUCAAAACGUAGCCAUCGCUGUCCUCUUUCAUCCAAUGUGUUUACUAUUGUGCUAGGUGUUAUGGUUCUUUCAUAAAUGUCACCAAAGCACAGCCUCCUCCCUCCAACUCCUCCAUAGACUCUAAUGUUAAAAUGGCUCAGAAGGUUCGUUUGAAAAUCAGAAGAGCAUGGUGUUUUUACACUGUCACCACGUCCAUAUAAUAAACUCCACAGGCAUGAAAACUGAGAAUUAGGUAGACUGGACAUUGCUGCCGCUCACGGUGAAGGAAUUUCGUCAAUAGGACCUGUACUUUUCAUUUGGGAACGAUUUGUUUCGGCCUAACUUUUCUGUUCAUUUUAAGCAGCAAAAGUGAGGUGCAUGUCUGUGUGCGUGUGUAUGGAGCCCCUGGCUCAGUCACUAUAGCAACCAGGCUCACACCUGCCUGCCUAACGAGCUCUCUCUCACUCUGCCAAGAUUCAUCUUGAACACUUCUCUUUCAACUGCUGCUGUGUCCACAGUAUUUGCCCUACAGCCAUCAUUUUACCCUCAAAAUGAAGCCAUCGUUCUUCUC